RNAcentral lists this long non-coding RNA (3454 nucleotides) under Brassica napus (rape). RNAcentral's name for it is "long non-coding RNA (BNAP_LNC008562)". Lineage: Eukaryota; Viridiplantae; Streptophyta; Magnoliopsida; Brassicales; Brassicaceae. The record is from RNAcentral.
CCAUCAACCGUAUUCUUGCGCUUAGUCUCGUCCUCGAAGACUCGUCCUUCGAGAUCUAUCGUUGGGAUGGUCGUGAGAUGUAGCAAGUCAGAGGAAGGCGGCUUGGGGUUUGCUAAGUUGGAAGGUGAGUCGUGGAAAAUGCGUGGAAGCUGUGUUAUUCCGGCGUCGACGAGUCCUUUCACACGAGUCGUGGAAGAUGCGUGGAAGCUGUGUUAUUCCAGCGUCGACGAGUCCUUUCACACCUGCCUUCCUCUCGUCGAAAGCUUUAAGCUCACUGAUACGAUCCAAUGCAGCAAUCUUCGUCGUCUCCAUAGUGUUCGUUAAAAAAAAACUUAUUUUAUUGUCUUGGAUUUACAGCAAACCACUGGUUAUAGAUUAUCAUCGAUAGACAUGUGACCACUUGUUACAGAAAAAUCACUGACCAUAGAUUGUAAUAAGUUUGAUAGAAAAUAAACGGUUUGUGACAGUUUCUGCCCCACUGGUUUUUAAUUAUACAAGACUUUAUUACAGGGAAACCAAAGUCCUAUACGCAUCCUUAUUAAACAUAAACGUGCAUGUGCAUCCUUAUUAAAACAUAAACGUGCAUUCUUUAGAUCUUGAGAUAUAGUAAUCCAGAGGUACCAUCGAAUCCUUUGGAUCUGUAGAACUUUGAAUACUCUGUAAUAGUGGUGUCUCUAUAUAUGGUAGGGUUUUGUUCAGACAAAAGCUCUUUUAAUGAUAGGUCCAUAAACUCGAGGAGUCGCCAUCAAAUACGAACCGAAGAAGCACGCCACUGAGAUACGCGGUCCAGCUCCGUUGGCUAAAACACGAUGCUCUACGCUUAUGAACUUGCCGUUUGUAAUAAACUGCAUAAAUGCCCCAAUAAGAUUAAAACAUUGAUCAAGCAAAAAAAAAAGGUAGUUUAGUUAGUUAUCCUGGAGAAGGUCUCCAACGUUGACUACAAGAGCUCCAGGGACAGUAGGAACAUCAACCCAAUAUUGAUCAUGGAGAACUUGUAGCCCUCCAACUUGUUCUUGAAGAACACUAGAAAAUUUUUUUUAUGUUGAUAGCAUGUUGUUAGAGUAAGUUUUACUAAACUGAUAUUGUAAAUGAUUAAGAAAUUUUCAUAUUAUAUAGUAGCGUUAGACAAUAGAAUCGAACCUAAAAUAACAUUUAAUUAAUGUUAUUCUGAAAACUAAGUGAGAAUAAAGAUAAAAUCACUGAUUCCGCUAUACUUAGCGGAAAAUUAGACUUAGGCACCAAAGACAUUUUCUAAACGAUUUCAUUAUUGCUAUCGAAGACAAAUAAUAGCAUUUUUCUAAUGCUAAGAAAAUCAAUUUGAACUCUUAAACCCUAAACAUGGUUUUAAACUCUAAACUCUAAAAACAGCCCUUAAAAUUCUAAUUUUUUUCAUAUUAUAAUUUCAAAUCUUAAAAUUGAACUCAAAAUAUAAUUUUCUUAAUCUUAGACUCUAAUUUUCUAAGCACAAAUCUUUAAUUUUUAAUCAAACUCUAUCCUAAAUCUUAACUUCAAACACAAACAAUACAUUUAAUACUCUAAAUAAAACUUCAAAUCUAAAUUAUUAAAAAAUUAACUACAAAUUUUAUAUCUAGUCUUCAAAUUUAUUAUUUUUCAACUUUAAUCCAAAAUACUAAACGUUAACCCUAAACCUCUUGUUCCAACAUCCAAACCUUAAAUUACAAAACUAAACUUUACUUUUAAUCAUAAUUUUUUUUUAUAAACCAUAAAAUCUGAAUUUAAGCCUAGAGUCAGGUCUGGUAGGACACAGAGGGUAAUAAUGGCCUAGCAGCAGCAAUGAAUUGGUGCAGUCCAUGUCCUUGACCUUGAGGUGAUUAGUGUUUAACCCUAGAGCUUCUGAGAGAAGCUCGAUAGCAUUUUACCCACUUUCAUCACUUCCUUUGAGUAUUCAAUCAUCACCUCCCUAACAAAAUGUCCCACAAAUAAAACAAAAACAUCAAAGACACGUUUUAUUCAUUUGUUGAAUUCUUACAAUAGAGACAGAGAUUCCGACAUAUGCUUAGUUUAUUCCCAUUUAAGGUCUCUAGGAUAAUGAUGCUCUUAGAGUAAAAAGUAGAAACAGUGAUGUUUAUAAACCUUCCUCAGCACUCUUUUGAUAAUUUUCUCAAAAGUAAUUAUAAUCUACAAACGUAGACAUGAUUUACAUAUCCAUGUUGAAUAAAAAAAAUAGUAAGCUCACCAUGUUCUCCUCAUAUUUUAAAAUGGAGCAAAUUAGAUCCGUCAAGUCCUUUGGCAUCGCGGUGAGCAGCCAACUCCUUAACGGUGAUCUCUCUGUACUUUGGAGGGUUAUUUUCAGACACAAGCUCUCUAAUUGGUCCGUAUAUUCUAGGAUUCGGUCUAAUGCCGGUUGUGAAGAAACAGCCGACCGAGACUCUAGCUUUUGUAGCUCUGUUUGCCAACACUCUGUGUUCUGAACUGAUGAACUUGUCGUUUGUUACAAGCUGCAUCAGACCAACCAAAACAACUUUGUUACGAGCUGAGACAUAUCUGAGCAGAAGGCAUUGAUUGAUUGUGAACAGAAACUUGCCUGCAGAAGGUCUCCGACGUUGAUGAUGAGUGCACCGGGAACAGGAGGAACAUCGAACCAGUACCCUUCACGGAGAACUUGAAGCCCUUCGAUCUGAUCUGGAAGGAGGACAGUAAGAAAAGCGAUGUCGCUGUGUUUAGUGGUGCCUAAAGUUAGGUCAGGCUCUGGGCAGGGCGGGUAGUAAUGGCAGAGCAUGCGCAAGCCCUUGGAGCAAUCAAUCUCCUUGAGGUAAUUAGGGUUCAACCCUAGAGCUUCUGAUAUAAGCUCAAACAGAAACUCUCCCAAACUCAUCGCUUGCUUUGAGUAUUCCAACAUUACAUCCCUGAAAACACUUUUCACCAUAUGAACGAACACAAGAGAGAUUAAAAGUAAAUGAAGUCAUGUUGUACCUACAGAUCGCUGGCAGAUCUUGUGGUUUGGGAGGAUUUGGAGCCAUGUAACAAGAGAAAGUGUCUCUCCAACUCGCAGCUGAUGAAGUGUAGAGAUCGAAGUUACUUGUAUACACAAACUCUCUCCUAAAAUCUCGGCUGUAGUAUUGUUUCUUCACUUCAGGGGCUUGCUCGUUAAACCUUCGAACUCCAUCUUUCAUCCUCUCCAAAAGAUCGAGGGGAACACCAUGGUUGACCACCUGGAAGAAACCCCACUUCUCUGCUGCGUCUCUAAUCCCAUCAACCGUAUUCUUGCGCUUAGUCUCGUCCUCGAAGACUCGUCCUUCGAGAUCUAUCGUUGGGAUGGUCGUGAGAUGUAGCAAGUCAGAGGAAGGCGGCUUGGGGUUUGCUAAGUUGGAAGGUGAGUCGUGGAAAAUGCGUGGAAGCUGUGUUAUUCCGGCGUCGACGAGUCCUUUCACACCUGUCUUCGUCUCGUCGAAAGCUUUAAGCUCACUGAUACGAUCGAAUGAACCAAUCUUGG